CUUACGGGAGGCAGCAGUGGGGAAUAUUGGACAAUGGGCGAAAGCCUGAUCCAGCCAUGCCGCGUGAGUGAUGAAGGCCCUAGGGUUGUAAAGCUCUUUCGCCAGGGACGAUAAUGACGGUACCUGGAUAAUAAGCCCCGGCUAACUUCGUGCCAGCAGCCGCGGUAAU
RNAcentral lists this ribosomal RNA (169 nucleotides) under uncultured Methylocystaceae bacterium. RNAcentral describes it as "partial 16S ribosomal RNA". It matches the Rfam family "Bacterial small subunit ribosomal RNA", at positions 338 to 524 of the family's 1533-position model. Lineage: Bacteria; Pseudomonadati; Pseudomonadota; Alphaproteobacteria; Hyphomicrobiales; Methylocystaceae. The record is from RNAcentral.